GAUGAAGAACGUAGCGAAAUGCGAUACUUGGUGUGAAUUGCAGAAUCCCGUGAACCAUCGAGUCUUUGAACGCAAGUUGCGCCUCAAGCCAUUGGGUUGAGGGCACGUCUGCCUGGGCGUCACAUAUCGUUGCCUGAUGCCAGUUUCCUCGUGAUGGGUGACUGUGCAGGGCGAAUGAUGGCUUCCCGUGAGCAUUGUUGCCUCAUGGUUGGUUGAAAAUUGAGUCCUUGGUAGGGAGCGCCGUGAUAGAUGGUGGUUGAGUGACGAACGAGACCCAAUCAUGUGAGACCCCUACCGAAUUUGGCCUUCAUGACCCACAUGCGUCUUUGGAACGCUCAUGACGAGACCUCAGGUCAGGCGGGGCUACCCGCUGAGUUUAAGCAUAUCAAUAAGCGGAGGA
This 400-nucleotide unclassified non-coding RNA is filed under the name soil metagenome. Its description in RNAcentral is "partial contains 5.8S ribosomal RNA, internal transcribed spacer 2, and large subunit ribosomal RNA". The stretch from base 1 to 122 matches the Rfam family "5.8S ribosomal RNA", at positions 35 to 154 of the family's 154-position model. The record is from RNAcentral.